This 165-nucleotide unclassified non-coding RNA is filed under the name uncultured Tremellales. RNAcentral's name for it is "sequence contains ITS2". The record is from RNAcentral. Lineage: Eukaryota; Fungi; Basidiomycota; Tremellomycetes; Tremellales.
CAACAUCAUCCCACCGGGUCUUCCCGGCGGGGUUGGAACUGGGCGCUGCCUUUGCUGGCUCGCCUCAAAUCCAUCGGUGGUCUACGACCCUGCUGCGGCGUAAUACGUUUCGUCGUCUGACAGGUUAGGAAGCCUCCUUGAAACCGCCUCUCACGAGGAUUGUAC